This 2199-nucleotide long non-coding RNA is filed under the name Anas platyrhynchos platyrhynchos (common mallard). Its description in RNAcentral is "lncRNA (ENSAPLG00000030210.1)". The record is from RNAcentral. Lineage: Eukaryota; Metazoa; Chordata; Aves; Anseriformes; Anatidae.
AAAUUGCCAGAACUGCAAGUAUAACCCUAGAUAAAGAUAUGACCCUAUUCCUAGCUCUUCAGGAAAUUGGUUUCCAGCACCAUCUCAUAUUUUCUAAAAUGACAUCUUAUAUAACAUCGAGUGCUACAUGAGAGAGAUGAAGACGUAAAUCUACCAUGGUACAAAAACAUCUAAGUGAUGGCAUAGGCUUGAAAUAAAUGCUAGUCAUGUUUGAUCAAAGUGGUUUAAAGCACACUCGAGAUUUUUUUUUCUCCUAAUUUUUAUGCAUUUUCUUACAAGCCAUUUUCUUCUUUUCCAGGUCAUUUGAUUUCCCUUUACGUCUUUCUCAAUACCUAGAUUCUAAGCCUUGGAAAACGAUUGUUAUUUUCUGAUAUGUUUUGGUAGAGUGCUUGGGACAGCUGUGGCUGCAGCCUCGCCAAGCCUGCACACUGACCAGUACAGGAGACUCAUGGAUCGUAUGAGUAAAGGCAUACACCACACAAAGUGUCAGUAACACAAGGGAGAAGUGCCUUCCUUUGUCCUCCUCCCUCCCUACGACCUUCUAUUUCGUCCUUCAGAAUUGUUAAUUCCCAUUCAUUGACUGUUUUCUAAAUAUUAUCAUAACAUAAAUCACAUUGACAUCUACAGAUAUGAAUCUGUGAUUCAUAUUAGAAAUGAACCAGAAGCACACGCACACUUGGAUGCAUAAUUUGGUGUGGUUAGCUAAGUUCGUGUCACUUAAUUUCAAAGACUGCCGUCUGUCUUCUUCAAUACUGUAGAGAGAUCAGACAUCAAGGGUCUGAUAAACAUUUUUUUAUUCAAAGCCAAGUUAUUAGCAGAGGUUAACAGUGAAUUUUACAGAUUUUGACUUUACAUUGAAAAGGAAAACAAACUGGGUAUGAAAAAAAUGGUAGCAGUUCAAAAGUAAUUUUCUGCACAUUGGAUGAAUGAUAGAAACAUUACAAUGACUUUCAGCAGACAGAAGUCCUGUUCCCAAUCUGCCGCUCUCUAUUCCUGCUUCCAAUUUGUUUUCACUAGAGAAGCAAUAUCAGUGGGCCGUGCUAGCGACAAGAAUAUCUCAUUCUCCCACUUCUCUUCAGACUUCAUUCAGGGAUGUGACACCUUCUGCUCCUCUAUCCAUGAUCUCCCACAAGCUUGGGUUCCCACACAACAGGUAAAAUAGCUUUCUCUAGUCUAGCUCUUCACUUUUUUUUUUUUUUACUUUUUUUUUUUCUUUUCCUAUCUGAAGCAAGAUUUUUAAGAGGAAAGAUUAAUAUCCAGCACAGUGUUGAGCCAAAACACUGUCUUUUCUCUGAUUUAAUAUCCCCCACACCUUGACAGUGACAAUACUCCUGAGAAGGAAGGCUGUUUUGAGUUUUUAUUCAUAGCUAGGCUUCUGAACGUGAAUGCUGGUGCCUUAGCUUUGGUGGGAAUUAUAUGAAAUAUACUAAUGAGUGGGCUUCUCUUGUUCUGUCUGAACCAUGGCUUGUCUACAGAGGCUGUCAGUCAGCCUCACUUUGGUGAUUAGCACCUUCUUUUACCUUCCAGCUAAAACAUGUAUUCCCUGGUCUCCUUAUAGGAAAAUGAGAAAAAAACACUGAAAGUGUUUUUGCUAACGUGGCCAUUUUGACUGGCUUAAGGUCAGUGGCCAGGGUAGAAACCUUUUCCAGUGGGAGAAACCUUGUGUCUAACCCUUAGGAAGCAGAUUGUUAUACUUGUGGCAUGUGUGCUGUCAAGGCAGGGGCAGUAAUACAGAUGCCAUUGAACCAGUCAGGACAGGUUUGAACUUGUGUUUUGUGAAGAGGAGCUGCAAAGUUUCUGGCCACAGAGAGCAGUUGGUCUAGGAAACACAAACUGCAGGGAAAACAAGGAAAUACUGGUAAAGACCAGCUGAUGGGAUCAAAGGAAUUUUCAGUAGGUUUUGAUAAUGAGCAUUUUUCCAUGCAUACUUAUAAGUAAUCAGAUAAGAUGUAUAAAUUAUCUAAAUUAGUAACACUUUGAGGGUGAAUUCCAAAAGCAAGUAAUUGUUCUUUAUCCUCCCAUGGAGAACAUCCCAAACAUCCAGGGGUGAGAGGAAGUAGUGCCACCAUUGCUUCCUUAUCUCACAGCUGCAGUCUGGAAAGCAGAGCUGUGUGGGCUGUGUCAGAUUGCUCACCUUCAGCUCCUUUUCUCUUUCCUCCAGGUGAGAAUAAAGCAAGAGCAGUGUGGGAGGGGAAAUCA